GUGGGGAAUAUUGGACAAUGGGGGGAACCCUGAUCCAGCCAUGCCGCGUGUGUGAAGAAGGCCUUUUGGUUGUAAAGCACUUUAAGCGAGGAGGAGGCUACUCUAGUUAAUACCUAGGGAUAGUGGACGUUACUCGCAGAAUAAGCACCGGCUAACUCUGUGCCAGCAGCCGCGGUAAUACAGAGGGUGCAAGCGUUAAUCGGAUUUACUGGGCGUAAAGCGCGCGUAGGUGGCCAAUUAAGUCAAAUGUGAAAUCCCCGAGCUUAACUUGGGAAUUGCAUUCGAUACUGGUUGGCUAGAGUAUGGGAGAGGAUGGUAGAAUUCCAGGUGUAGCGGUGAAAUGCGUAGAGAUCUGGAGGAAUACCGAUGGCGAAGGCAGCCAUCUGGCCUAAUACUGACACUGAGGUGCGAAAGCAUGGGGAGCAAACAGGCUUAGAAACCCUGGUAGUCC
RNAcentral lists this ribosomal RNA (451 nucleotides) under uncultured bacterium. RNAcentral's name for it is "partial 16S ribosomal RNA". It matches the Rfam family "Bacterial small subunit ribosomal RNA", at positions 354 to 796 of the family's 1533-position model. The record is from RNAcentral.